Diceros bicornis minor is the source of this 3365-nucleotide long non-coding RNA. RefSeq lists it as uncharacterized. The transcript is spliced from 6 exons. The record is from RefSeq and is a predicted model, not a curated record. NCBI's taxonomy places the organism in Eukaryota, Metazoa, Chordata, Mammalia, Perissodactyla, Rhinocerotidae.
UGGAAGGGGUGUGUUGUAGGGCUCUGCGGCGGGUCCUGAAGAAGAGACUGGAAGUCGAGGAGUCUGUUUCUCAGAAAAUGAGGUUUUGGUCACUGUCUGCGGUGUUGGGAGUAAGGGCGUCAUAUUGGAUCAUGGAUUGAGCGUUUGUAGCGGUCCGUAAUUUCUGGUGCCGUUGUGAUUAGUAAUUAAAGGGGCCUGCCCAAGACAGUGACUGCCGCCCUGUGGAACUCAGUUAUUUAGUGGCGCUGCUGGUAGUGGACUCUGAUGAGAGUCAGCAGCUUAUCGGGGAUUUGUAGGGCUAGUGAUUGGGCGUGUCUGUGUGAGUGAUUCUGGGACUCUCAGGAUCACGGGUUAGGGUCAUAUAGAAAUCAGUGGUUGGGGCCCUGAAGGGGGGUAUCCCUCAUUAGGGUUAUUUUGGGUCAGUGAGUAGAGGCUGUAGUGGGCAACUGUUAGGAGCCUGUGUGAUAGCUUGGGGAGCAGGCAGCUCGUGAUCAGUGAUUGGAGUUCUAGCCCAGAAUUGUAACAGUUGGAGUUCAGGCUGCGCUCCACACGUAGCAUAGUGUGCUGAGUUUUCUUGUGUGGGUUUAUGUCCCUAAGGAUGCUGAGGAUAGGGGGAGAGUUCUGUUUCCACCCUUGAAUCUGUCUGGUGAACAAACUUCAGGCAGAUUGUAUUCUCUACUAAUACUGGCUUUUAGCUGGCGAAGUACUAAAAGCCUAAGUCUCUCCUCAAAAAUCCUUUCGCAAAGCUCCUUUGCCUUCUCCCUGUCCUUCAAUCUAUGCAGUAUCUCCGGACAGUGUCAACCACACUCAUUACAUCAGCUACACCUUUAAAAUCAUGACUUGACAAUCUAUGGCACCAGCCCAGACAUUUCUAACAAGCUCCAGAUUCACAGUAGCUGACUGUCUCCUACAGAUCUGCGAGGUUUACUCGGACACCUUGAUCUUAACAUGAUCAAAAUAGAGUUUAUCGUCUUCCGUCUCCGUACUUUACCUGCUCGUCCUGCUAUAUUUCUACAUCAUGAUGAAUGGCAUCUACAGCAUUAUGAAUGGCAUUCAUCCAGUUGGCCAUAGUAAAAAUCUUGGAGACAUCUGGUUUUCUCCCCAUCCGUCUCCCAUAUCCAGUCAAUCUUCUGAUCCUGGUGAUUUUGACUCCCUGACGUAUCUCCAGUUUGUCCUCCCCAUUCCCGCUGCUAUGGUCUUAGUUCAGGCUGCAUCAUCCCUUUGUUUAAACCUGCAUCAGGAAAACCCCGUAUCAGAGUGUUGGACGCUCGGAGAAAGUCAGAAGAAGGAAUGUUGACUUUCUAUCCAGGAGGCACCUGGAAAGGCUUUCUAGAGAAGCUCUGUCUUUACAGAUAUCUGUUCCUUCUGAAGAGCAACAGAAAAUGACCACGUCUCAGGGAUUUGUGUCUUUCAAGGAUGUGACUGUGGACUCCACUCAGGAGGAGUGGCAGCGGCUGGACUCUGCUCAAAGAAACCUGUAUGGGGAUGUGAUGCUGGAGAAUUAGAGCAACCUUGUUUCAGUGGGGAAUCAAUCUCUGAAGUCAGAUGUAAUCUUGUUGAAUCAAGGAGCACCAUGGAUGGAGGAGGGAGAAAUCUCAAGUUGGGCCUAUCCAGGAAAUCAUUCUUUAGGCCAUAGACGUUUAGAAAUGGCUGAAGACAGUUGAUAUGGGAUUGUCAAAUACCUAAAUGACACUGCUACAUGUCAAACACCCACAGAGUCCUUGUUCUUUGCUUGACUUUUAGAGAAGGAGACUUUGAAAUUAGACCCAGAAUGAAAGAAUUAACUCCACAGAAGAGCAUUUCUGAAGAAGUGAUACUUCAUAACCUGAUAGGAUACUCAAUUUUUGAAGACUGGAACCUUGAAGAUGAGAUAAAUCACCAGGAAAACCAAGACAAGCUGUUGAACCAAGUUGCAUUCAUUAACAAUAAAUCACUGACUGAAGAGAUAGACCAUGAAUGUAAUGCACUGGAGAAAGUAGUUCAUCUGAACAGAACAUCUAAUAAACACAUCAGAAGCUUCAUACAGAAGUCACACCUCUUUGCACAGCCAAAAAUUCUAACCAGUGAGAAAUCAUAUAGAUGUAUUCAGUGUGGGAAAGCCUUAAGUAGAAAGUCAGGACUCAUUGUACAUCAGAGAAUUCAUACUGGGGAGAAACCAUACAAAUGUAAUGAAUGUGAAAAAGCCUUUAUUCAGAAGUCACAACUCACUGUACAUCAGAGAACUCAUACAGGAGAGAAACCCUAUGAAUGUAGGGAAUGUGGAAAAGCAUUCAUACAGAAGUCAAACCUCGUUAUUCAUCAGAGGAGUCACACGGGAGAAACCCUAUGAAUGCAAUGAAUGUGGGAAAACUUUCAUCAAGAAGUCAACACAUGGUGUUCAUCAAAGAGCUCAUACUGGGGAGAAACCAUAUGAAUGCAAUGAAUGUGGGAAAGCCUUCACCUGGCAGUCACAGCUCAUUGUACAUCAGAGAAUUCAUACUGGGGAGAAACCCUAUGAAUGCAGUGAAUGCAGAAAAGCUUUUAUCCAGAAAUCACAACUCAUUGUGCAUCAGAGAAUCCAUACUGGAAUGAAACCAUAUGAAUGCGUUGAGUGUGGAAAAGCGUUUAGCAAGAAGUCACACCUCACCAUACAUCAUAGAAUACAUACUGGAGAAAAACCCUAUGAAUGCAGGGAUUGUAGAAAAGCUUUCAGCAAGAAAUCUAAUCUCAUUGUACACCAGAGAAUUCAUGUUGAACAGAAACUGUUUUAAUGGAAUGAGAAAACUUGAAUUCAGUGAUCAAAAUUUCAUUAUACUUUAUAGAAUUUAUAUAGGCUGGAAACUUUAUGAAUGUACUAAACAUGGGAAGCCUUCAACAAUAGGUCUAGAACUAUUAAGCACCAGAAAAUUCAUACUGAGAAGCAAUUGAAAAAUCAUGUUUCCAAAAAAAACAUUGUGUUGGACAUCUUGGUUCAGACCUAAAAAAAUUUUUUUAAGUAUGCUAGAAAAAUCUCAAUUACACGAUUGACUUGUUCACUAUAAGUACAGCUUUUUUAAAUGAGUAAGUAAAUUGAUUGAUCACAACAAGAAAGUGACAAGAAUAUGUAGUCAUUCUGCAGGUGAUGUAGGAAUGGCAUUGAAACCCAAAUUAUCUGUCAGAAUUGAAAAUGGAUAUUUAUACCUGCCUUUUCCACACUAAGUGACACCAUUUUCUCCACAUCUUAAAACACAAAAUGUAAAAGGACAAAUUGUAAGUGAAAAAGCAAUAUGGUUUGUUAUUUAACAAGAGUACAAAAAAAUACAUAUAACCUUUCCCACUCUUUCUUGAUGUGUAUAGAAUGAUGAGAGGAUGAUGCCAGUGUAUUUAUAAAGACUUCAAAAGUCAAU